This is a long non-coding RNA of Phodopus roborovskii (desert hamster), 577 nucleotides long. RefSeq lists it as uncharacterized. Lineage: Eukaryota; Metazoa; Chordata; Mammalia; Rodentia; Cricetidae. The record is from RefSeq and is a predicted model, not a curated record. The transcript has 2 exons.
UGCCCUCCAGGUCAUAUGUAUGCCCUGUUGUUGAAUGUACACUGUGUAUCCCAAGGCACUGAAGAGCUGGAAAAAUGAUCAUAUGUCAAUCUGGAUGAUUGAAAGGUUAACUGUUUCCAAAUGAAUGUCUUGCCUUAAACCUUCUGUUUCCUAAAAUGUUGGCAAUGUGAUAUUUUAGGCUUAUUUUCUUAAGAAAAAAAAUAGUGAGAGGGAAGAUGAGAUGAAGAAAGCACUGUGUGGUCCAGAGCCAGGACCAGAGGCUUCCCCCUUUCGUGCCCAAGAUCAGUGUGACUGUGUGGGACACAGAAAGACUAAUAAGGUGGUAAUACUGUGGACUUUAUGAAGAAAUUUCUCAAGCAUAAAUUACAUAGAAUUAGAAGAGAUUAUGAGUAACAGUGGUAGAUUAUUUGAAGAUUUUGAAAGAGAUCUCCAGUGAUUAAGGUUAUUAUAUGGUUCAUUGGUUUCUUGUCCUUGUCAUUUUCAUUGCUAUUUGGGAAAGAUUUAGGGGGGAAAAACUUAGUUGCUGAGCCUAAAUGACAUUUUUAAAAAUUAAUAAAUUAGUUUCUACAUUCUUUAA